GACGAACGCUGGCGGCGUGCUUAACACAUGCAAGUCGAACGAUGAAGCUGGAGCUCGCUCCGGUGGAUUAGUGGCGAACGGGUGAGUAACACGUGAGAAAUCUGCCCUUGACUCUGGGAUAACUGCGGGAAACUGUAGCUAAUACCGGAUAUUUUCCUUGGUGGGCAUCCAAUGGGGAAGAAAGAAUUUCGGUCAAGGAUGAUCUCGCGGCCUAGCAGCUAGUUGGUGAGGUAAGGGCUCACCAAGGCGACGACGGGUAGCAGGCCUGGGAGGGUGACCGGCCAAACUGGGACUGAGACACGGCGCAGUCUCCUACGGUAGGCAGAUGGGGGGAAUAUUGAGCAAUGGGCGCAAGACUGAUGCAGCAACGCCGAGUGAGGGAUGAAGGCAUUCGGGUUGUAAACCUCUUUUAGCAGGGAAGAAGCGAAAGUGACGGUACCUGCAGAAAAAGCACCGGCUAACUACGUGCCAGCCGCCGCCGUAA
This 484-nucleotide ribosomal RNA is filed under the name uncultured bacterium. RNAcentral's name for it is "partial 16S ribosomal RNA". It matches the Rfam family "Bacterial small subunit ribosomal RNA", at positions 28 to 523 of the family's 1533-position model. The record is from RNAcentral.